GACGGAGGAUGCAAGCGUUAUCCGGAAUGAUUGGGCGUAAAGCGUUCGUAGGUGGCUGUUCAAGUCUGCUGUCAAAGACCGGGGCUUAACCCCAGGAAGGCAGUGGAAACUGGACUGCUUGAGUGCAAAUGGGGUAGGGGGAAUUCCCAGUGUAGCGGUGAAAUGCGUAGAGAUUGGGAAGAACACCGGUGGCGAAAGCGGCCUGCUGGACCACAACUGACACUGAGGCACGAAAGCUAGGGGAGCGAACGGG
RNAcentral lists this ribosomal RNA (253 nucleotides) under uncultured bacterium. RNAcentral's name for it is "partial 16S ribosomal RNA". It matches the Rfam family "Bacterial small subunit ribosomal RNA", at positions 524 to 776 of the family's 1533-position model. The record is from RNAcentral.